AGCCUAACAGCUAGCUCACCCCAAUAAAACCAACACAAUCCUAUUUAUAACCCCUUAUACACUACCACCCUAAAAACUAACACAUUCUUCCCUCCAAGUACGGGCGACGGAAAAGAAAAUAGAAGCAAUAGAGAAAGUACCGCAAGGGAAAGCUGAAAGAGAAAUGAAACAACCCAAUAAAGCCUAAAAAAGCAGAGAUACAACCUCGUACCUUUUGCAUCAUGAUUUAGCUAGAACCUCUUAAGCAAAAAGAAUUUUAGUUUAACACCCCGAAACUAGGUGAGCUACUCCAAGACAGCCUAAAUCUAGGGCACACCCGUCUCUGUGGCAAAAGAGUGGGAAGAGCUUCGAGUAGCGGUGACAGACCUAACGAACCUAGCCAUAGCUGGUUGCCUGGAAAAUGAAUAUAAGUUCAGCCCCUUGAAUUCUCUCCUCAAAUGCCUCAUUUACCUUUUUAAUGAUAGUGCACCCCGAGACCAAGAGAAAUUAAUAGAGUUAGUCAAGAGGGGAACAGCCCCUUUGAAAAAAGACACAACUUUUUCAGCAGGAUAAAGAUCAUAAUCCCUAUAAAGGUAAUAUGUUAUAGUGGGCCUGAAAGCAGCCACCUAAACAGAAAGCGUCAAAGCUCAAACACAACCUACCUCCUAAAAUACCGAUAACAUAUCUUAAACCCCUAAACCUACCAGGCUAUCCCAUGCCCCCAUGGGAGCAAUAAUGCUAACAUGAGUAAUAAGAGAACACCUGAUUCUCUCCCCGCAUAUGUGUAAAUCGGAACGGACAUCCCCGCCGAACAUUAACGGCCCCUAACAAAGAGGGUACUGUACCAAAAAUAACCGACAAGAAAACCACCCACUACACCACCGUUAACCCUACACAGGUAUGCCCCUAAGGAAAGACUAAAAGAAAAAGAAGGAACUCGGCAAACACAAUGCCUCGCCUGUUUACCAAAAACAUCGCCUCUUGCAACAACAACAUAAGAGGUCCCGCCUGCCCAGUGACCAUGUGUUCAACGGCCGCGGUAUUUUAACCGUGCAAAGGUAGCGUAAUCACUUGUCUUUUAAAUGUAGACCUGUAUGAAUGGCACGACGAGGGCUUAACUGUCUCCUUUUUCCAGUCAAUGAAAUUGAUCUCCCCGUGCAGAAGCGGGGAUAGCACCAUAAGACGAGAAGACCCUGUGGAGCUUUAGACACCAAGACAGACCAUAUUAUACCCCACUAACAAAACAAAACCUACUGGACUCCUGCCCUGAUGUCUUUGGUUGGGGCGACCUCGGAGAAACAAAAAACCCCCGUGCGGAAUAGGAGGCUUUCACUUCUUUUUUUACUCCUCCCGUAAACCAAGAGCUACCGCUCUAAUUAACAGAACUUCUGACCUUAAAGAUCCGGCCCAUGCCGAUCAACGGAUCAAGUUACCCCAGGGAUAACAGCGCAAUCCUCUUCUAGAGCCCGUAUCAACAAGAGGGUUUACGACCUCGAUGUUGGAUCAGGGCAUCCUAAUGGUGCAACCGCUAUUAAGGGUUCGUUUGUUCAACGAUUAAAGCCCUACGUGAUCUGAGUUCAGACCGGAGUAAUCCAGGUCAGUUUCUAUCUAUGCUAUGAUCUUUACUAGUACGAAAGGACCGGAAAGAAGAGGCCAACCCUCCAAGCACGCCUUACCCUUAACCCAUGAAAUCAACUAAAACAGACAAAAGGGCAUACCCCAUCGCUCAAGAAAACAGCAU
Molecule: ribosomal RNA, 1720 nt
Filed under: Stegastes leucostictus (beaugregory)
Lineage: Eukaryota; Metazoa; Chordata; Actinopteri; Pomacentridae
Description: 16S ribosomal RNA
Rfam family: Bacterial large subunit ribosomal RNA (bases 109-1608)
Source: RNAcentral